UUACUUACCUGACAGGGGCAAUACCAUAAUCAAGGAUGUGGUUUGCUCAAAGAAAAAGGCUCAGCCAUUGCACUCUGUGCCGACCUUUGCGAAUUCCCCAAGUCCGGGAAUUUUGUUUGCAUAAUUUCUGAUAGCUGGGGACUGUGUUCACGCUCUCUCCUU
This is a small nuclear RNA of Hemibagrus wyckioides, 162 nucleotides long. RefSeq annotates it as U1 spliceosomal RNA. The transcript has a single exon. Lineage: Eukaryota; Metazoa; Chordata; Actinopteri; Siluriformes; Bagridae. The record is from RefSeq and is a predicted model, not a curated record.